Molecule: ribosomal RNA, 450 nt
Filed under: uncultured bacterium
Lineage: Bacteria
Description: partial 16S ribosomal RNA
Rfam family: Bacterial small subunit ribosomal RNA
Source: RNAcentral
GUAGGGAAUAUUGGGCAAUGGAUGCAAGUCUGACCCAGCCAUCCCGCGUGCCGGAAGAAGGCCUUCGGGUUGUAAACUGCUUUUGUACGGAACGAAAAGCCUCUGGUUAAUACCCGGGGGUCAUGACGGUACCGUAAGAAUAAGCACCGGCUAACUACGUGCCAGCAGCCGCGGUAAUACGUAGGGUGCAAGCGUUAAUCGGAAUUACUGGGCGUAAAGCGUGCGCAGGCGGUUAUAUAAGACAGAUGUGAAAUCCCCGGGCUCAACCUGGGAACUGCAUUUGUGACUGUAUAGCUAGAGUACGGUAGAGGGGGAUGGAAUUCCGCGUGUAGCAGUGAAAUGCGUAGAUAUGCGGAGGAACACCGAUGGCGAAGGCAAUCCCCUGGACCUGUACUGACGCUCAUGCACGAAAGCGUGGGGAGCAAACAGGAUUAGAAACCCUUGUAGUCC